GGGUAACGGCUUACCAUGACUAUGAUGUCUAGGGGUUCUGAGAGGAAGGUCCCCCACACUGGAACUGAGACACGGUCCAGACUCCUACGGGAGGCAGCAGUGAGGAAUAUUGGACAAUGGAUGGAAAUCUGAUCCAGCCAUGCCGCGUGCAGGAAGAAUGUCCUAUGGAUUGUAAACUGCUUUUGUAUGGGAGCAAUAAGGUCUUCGUGAAGGCCGAUGAGAGUACCAUACGAAUAAGCACCGGCUAACUCCGUGCCAGCAGCCGCGGUAAUACGGAGGGUGCAAGCGUUAUCCGGAUUUAUUGGGUUUAAAGGGUGCGUAGGCGGUUAUAUAAGUCAGCGGUGAAAUUUUUCGGCUCAACCGGAAACAUGCCGUUGAUACUGUAUAGCUUGAAUAUGGUUGCUGUGAGUGGAAUGUGUAGUGUAGCGGUGAAAUGCUUAGAUAUUACACAGAAUAUCGAUUGCGAAGGCAACUCACAAAGCCAUUAUUGACGCUGAGGCACGAAAGUGUGGGGAUCAAACAGGAUUAGAUACCCUGGUAGUCCACACUGUAAACGAUGAUAACUAGCUGUCGGCGAUAGACCGUCGGUGGCCAAGCGAAAGCGAUAAGUUAUCCACCUGGGGAGUACGACCGCAAGGUUGAAACUCAAAGGAAUUGACGGGGCCCGCACAAGCGGAGGAACAUGUGGUUUAAUUCGAUGAUACGCGAGGAACCUUACCCGGGCUCGAACGGUGCAGUAAUAUGGUAGAGAUAUCAUAGCUAGCAUAGACUGUAUCGAGUGCUGCAUAUGUCGUCAGCUCGUGCCG
This 806-nucleotide ribosomal RNA is filed under the name uncultured bacterium SHA-7. Its description in RNAcentral is "bacterial SSU rRNA". It matches the Rfam family "Bacterial small subunit ribosomal RNA", at positions 255 to 1067 of the family's 1533-position model. The record is from RNAcentral.